This 229-nucleotide long non-coding RNA is filed under the name Physcomitrium patens. RNAcentral's name for it is "long non-coding RNA (PPAT_LNC014380)". The record is from RNAcentral. Lineage: Eukaryota; Viridiplantae; Streptophyta; Bryopsida; Funariales; Funariaceae.
UUGUAACAAAAGUAAUGAAUUGUCAUACCACUCUUAAUAUUUUCUACAAUGAUUGUAUUCUAAAUCUAUAAAAUUUUGAAUUUUUUUUGCUUUUGUAUUUUUACACAUUCUAACAAUGAAUUGUUACAAACUUAAAGCAUGAUCUUUUAAAACCAUGUUCAUUGAUAUAGGAGAAUCUAAUGGCAUUUACUAUUGCUUGGAUCCUGCUUGUCACAAUGUACACCUUUAU